UACAGAGGUCUCAAGCGUUGUUCGGAUUCAUUGGGCGUAAAGGGUGCGUAGGUGGCGCUGUAAGUCGGGUGUGAAAUUUCGGAGCUUAACUCCGAAACUGCAUUCGAUACUGCGGUGCUUGAGGACUGGAGAGGAGACUGGAAUUCAUGGUGUAGCAGUGAAAUGCGUAGAGAUCAUGAGGAAGACCAGUGGCGAAGGCAGCCCCCUGGGUCAAGAUUGACGCUCAUGCACGAAAGCGUGGGGAGCAAACAGG
RNAcentral lists this ribosomal RNA (253 nucleotides) under uncultured bacterium. RNAcentral's name for it is "partial 16S ribosomal RNA". It matches the Rfam family "Bacterial small subunit ribosomal RNA", at positions 524 to 776 of the family's 1533-position model. The record is from RNAcentral.